Long non-coding RNA from Sphaerodactylus townsendi, 500 nucleotides. RefSeq lists it as uncharacterized. NCBI's taxonomy places the organism in Eukaryota, Metazoa, Chordata, Lepidosauria, Squamata, Sphaerodactylidae. The record is from RefSeq and is a predicted model, not a curated record. The transcript is spliced from 3 exons.
CCCGCCUCGCGCUGCUGCUCCUCUCCGGCUUGCGCGCGCGCACAGGCGCACACACACACACACGCACAUAUACACAAGCACAACCACUCUGGACCAGCUUCGGUGCGCAGGGCUGCUGCUACCGCAGUCGCCUUUAAACUCUCCCCAUCAUUUCCUCCCUCCCCCCUCCCCAUUCUGGAGCUUCCUCCACUAUUCAGAGACUGGCGAGGGAAGACUCCCUCCUCAGCAAGUCUAAUUUUGUCAUUAUUUUUAUUUUAUUUUGUGCAGCUGCUCCUUUGAGCGCCUCCUGGUGCUCCCAAGGUUUCGCAGGGAAGCAGCUAUGAAGAGGAAACUGAUGCUCAACACGAUGCAGUUGGUUCUUGUUGUCUUGGGGUGCUUGCCUGCAAGAUCAGUGUUGGCUGACCCCAGUGAAGACGAAGCAAAAAAUAUCACCAUCUUCACAAGAAUUUUAGACAGACUUCUGGACGGCUACGACAAUCGUCUGAGACCUGGAUUGGGAG